CUGCUCAAUGAUAAAAUAUUAAAUAGCUGCAGUAUUAAUAACUGUACUAAGGUAGCAUAAUAAAUAGUUUUUUAAUUAAAAACUUGAAUGAAAGAUUUAAUGAAAAAAUAACUUUAUUUUAUUAAUUAAAAUUUAAUUUUUUUUUUAAAUAAAAAUAUCUAAAUAUUAUAAAUAGACAAAAAGACCCUAUAAAACUUUAUAAAUUAAUUAUUAAAUAAAUAAAAUUAAUUAAUUUAUUUAAUUGGGGAAAUUUAAAAAUUUAAUUAAUUUUUUAUUAUUAAAUUUACAUAAAUUAAUGAAUAUAUUUAAAGUUUUAUAAAAAAAUAAAUCAAGUUACUUUAGGGAUAACAGAAUAAUUUUUUUAAAAAGAUCAAAUUUAUAAAAAAGUUUAUUACCUGCGAUGUUGAAUUAAGAUAUAAAUUAAAGUGAAAAAACUUUUUAUUUAAGUCUGUUCGACU
This 458-nucleotide ribosomal RNA is filed under the name Ascogaster sp. Its description in RNAcentral is "partial 16S ribosomal RNA". Lineage: Eukaryota; Metazoa; Arthropoda; Insecta; Hymenoptera; Braconidae. The record is from RNAcentral.